Molecule: ribosomal RNA, 998 nt
Filed under: Salmonella enterica subsp. enterica serovar Typhimurium
Lineage: Bacteria; Pseudomonadati; Pseudomonadota; Gammaproteobacteria; Enterobacterales; Enterobacteriaceae
Description: bacterial SSU rRNA
Rfam family: Bacterial small subunit ribosomal RNA
Source: RNAcentral
GAGUAAUGUCUGGGAAACUGCCUGAUGGAGGGGGAUAACUACUGGAAACGGUGGCUAAUACCGCAUAACGUCGCAAGACCAAAGAGGGGGACCUUCGGGCCUCUUGCCAUCAGAUGUGCCCAGAUGGGAUUAGCUUGUUGGUGAGGUAACGGCUCACCAAGGCGACGAUCCCUAGCUGGUCUGAGAGGAUGACCAGCCACACUGGAACUGAGACACGGUCCAGACUCCUACGGGAGGCAGCAGUGGGGAAUAUUGCACAAUGGGCGCAAGCCUGAUGCAGCCAUGCCGCGUGUAUGAAGAAGGCCUUCGGGUUGUAAAGUACUUUCAGCGGGGAGGAAGGUGUUGCGGUUAAUAACCGCAGCAAUUGACGUUACCCGCAGAAGAAGCACCGGCUAACUCCGUGCCAGCAGCCGCGGUAAUACGGAGGGUGCAAGCGUUAAUCGGAAUUACUGGGCGUAAAGCGCACGCAGGCGGUCUGUCAAGUCGGAUGUGAAAUCCCCGGGCUCAACCUGGGAACUGCAUUCGAAACUGGCAGGCUUGAGUCUUGUAGAGGGGGGUAGAAUUCCAGGUGUAGCGGUGAAAUGCGUAGAGAUCUGGAGGAAUACCGGUGGCGAAGGCGGCCCCCUGGACAAAGACUGACGCUCAGGUGCGAAAGCGUGGGGAGCAAACAGGAUUAGAUACCCUGGUAGUCCACGCCGUAAACGAUGUCUACUUGGAGGUUGUGCCCUUGAGGCGUGGCUUCCGGAGCUAACGCGUUAAGUAGACCGCCUGGGGAGUACGGCCGCAAGGUUAAAACUCAAAUGAAUUGACGGGGGCCCGCACAAGCGGUGGAGCAUGUGGUUUAAUUCGAUGCAACGCGAAGAACCUUACCUGGUCUUGACAUCCACAGAACUUUCCAGAGAUGGAUUGGUGCCUUCGGGAACUGUGAGACAGGUGCUGCAUGGCUGUCGUCAGCUCGUGUUGUGAAAUGUUGGGUUAAGUCCCGCAACGAGCGCAAC